This 490-nucleotide ribosomal RNA is filed under the name uncultured bacterium. Its description in RNAcentral is "partial 16S ribosomal RNA". It matches the Rfam family "Bacterial small subunit ribosomal RNA", at positions 28 to 507 of the family's 1533-position model. The record is from RNAcentral.
GAUGAACGCUCGCGAUAGGCUUAACACAUGCAAGUCGAGGGGCAGCAUGGUCUUAGCUUGCUAAGACUGAUGGCGACCGGCGCACGGGUGCGUAACGCGUAUGCAACUUGCCUCACAGAGGGGGAUAACCCGUCGAAAGACGGACUAAUACCGCGUACACUUGGGAUAGGGCAUCCUGACCCAAGGAAAUGAAAUUCGCUGUGAGAUAGGCAUGCGUCCCAUUAGCUAGUUGGUGAGGUAACGGCUCACCAAGGCGACGAUGGGUAGGGGAACUGAGAGGUUGAACCCCCACACUGGUACUGAGACACGGACCAGACUCCUACGGGAGGCAGCAGUGAGGAAGAUUGGUCAAUGGGCGAGAGCCUGAACCAGCCAAGUCGCGUGAAGGAUGACUGUCUUAUGGAUUGUAAACUUCUUUUAUACGGGAAUAACAAGAGCCACGUGUGGCUCCCUGCAUGUACCGUAUGAAUAAGCAUCGGCUAACUCCGUG